RNAcentral lists this ribosomal RNA (874 nucleotides) under uncultured eukaryote. RNAcentral describes it as "SSU rRNA". It matches the Rfam family "Eukaryotic small subunit ribosomal RNA", at positions 569 to 1465 of the family's 1831-position model. The record is from RNAcentral.
AGCAGCCGCGGUAAUUCCAGCUCCAAUAGCGUAUAUUAAAGUUGUUGUGGUUAAAAAGCUCGUAGUUGGAUCUCAACAGCCUUGAAGCGGUUAACUUUGUAGUUUUACUGCUUUAUAGGCUGUGCUUUUGCUGGAGGUUUAGGGGUGCUCUUGAUCGAGUGUCUCUGGAUGCCAGCAGGUUUACUUUGAAAAAAUUAGAGUGCUCAAAGCAGGCUAAAAUGCCUGAAUAUUCGUGCAUGGAAUAAUAGAAUAGGAUGUCGAUCCUAUUUUGUUGGUUUUCGGGACUCGACAUAAUGAUAAAUAGGGACAGUCGGGGGCAUUUGUAUUCAAACGACAGAGGUGAAAUUCUUGGACCGUUUGAAGACAAACUACUGCGAAAGCAUUUGCCAAGAAUGUUUUCAUUAAUCAAGAACGAAAGUUAGAGGUUCGAAGGCGAUUAGAUACCGCCCUAGUUCUAACCAUAAACGAUGCCAGCUAGCGAUCUGCCUGCGUUUUUACUGUAGACUGGGCAGGAAGCUUCCGGGAAACCAAAGCAUUUGGGUUCCAGGGGAAGUAUGGUUGCAAAGCUGAAACUUAAAGGAAUUGACGGAAGGGCACCACCAGGAGUGGAGCCUGUGGCUUAAUUUGACUCAACACGGGAAAUCUCACCAGGCCCGGACACUGGAAGGAUUGACAGAUUGAUAGCUCUUUCUUGAUUCGGUGGGUGGUGGUGCAUGGGCCGUUCUUAGUUGGUGGAGUGAUUUGUCUGGUUAAUUCCGAUAACGAACGAGACUCUGUCCUGCUAAAUAGUGUCUGCUUCUCUUUUGAGCAGACAAUUCUUCUUAGAGGGACUGGCGACUCUUAGUCGCACGAGAUUGAGCAAUAACAGGUCUGU